This is a long non-coding RNA of Xiphophorus hellerii (green swordtail), 2167 nucleotides long. RefSeq lists it as uncharacterized. The record is from RefSeq and is a predicted model, not a curated record. The transcript has 3 exons. NCBI's taxonomy places the organism in Eukaryota, Metazoa, Chordata, Actinopteri, Cyprinodontiformes, Poeciliidae.
GACACACAACUGGCUGCACACAAAUCCUGCAGAGGUCUGUGGAUGACCUCUCCAUACGCUGAUUAACAGCAUUCCAGCCACACCUUACGUUGACGGGAUUAUCUCUUUUUAUUAAGUAAUUAUGCAGCAGAUUUCCCGCACAUGUUGUGGGCUAAAUAAAGCAUUACACAAACGCCGGAGCUCGGAGGCUCCUUUUUUCCCAGCAACCUGAUGGACAGAUGUGAGCUCUCUGCAGCGCAGUGGCGUAAUUAAAAACUAAACCGCGGGAUGCUUCGCCAUCUGACACCGGCCCCAGUGGCUCGCCACCGCAGCCUGCGCGCCACGGGGAAUCAGACCAAUCAGAAGCACUCGGGGCACCGUCCACAUAUGGCUGUCUCUACGAACGUCCGACUGGGAUUGGAAAUCUGCUCGCGCCCAGAACCUGAGCUCAAACGGUGGCGUGUCAAGCUGUUUCAGGAGGUUUGUUGUGACGGAUCAGUGGCAGGUAGCAUAUUUGAAAGUUUAAAAGCGAUUUAGGCUUUUAGCAUGGCUUUCUGAACUUAAGGAAAUCAAGUUCUGCACUGCAGUGGUGGCAGGAAUAACAGCUUAUUGUUGAAAUGUUUUCAAAAUCAUGCACAUAACUUUCCUAUAUAAAACUUAUUUUUCCAGGUUUUCAUAUUCACGACAGUUUUAAAUGAGUCACUUAAGUUUCAAAUGUUAAUUUAAAAUGUUAACUACUUUUAAAAAGCUUUGGCAGUCACGAGGACACCGGUGUGUUCAUGGAGCCACUGACUAACAUGUGAGCGUUUUGAGGGUGAAAGUUAAGCGGUUAAAGCAAAAUUUGAAACUAAUUUGACUUUCGUCACUCAUCUCUUGACUCAUGUUUGCCACUCUGCAUUGUUGACUGCAGAAUAAGACCAUACAACAACACAUGCGUGACCCAAUUAAUCCUCCACAGGAGAGAAGCUUUUACAGGUAAUGAGUAAUGUUAACACGUUAAACGAUUUAGACUAAUCGCUUUUUGUGCAAAAAACACAAAAUCUUACCAAGCAUGUUUGAUUUAGUUCAAAUAUGUUAGUACAUAUGUUAGUACAAGUUUUUUCUUACUUGAAAUAAGAAAAAACUAACUUUCAAGUAACUUUUCAGCAAGAUAAGAGUUUAUUUUAAGUAGUAGUUGUAAGUGAAAUCAUCUGCCAGUGAAAUUUGUAUUUUUUUCCACUUUUAACAAUUUCAUUUUUCUUGCUGAAAUGUUACUUGUAAAUUCUUUUUGUCUUAUUUCAAGCCUACUAAGAUAUUUGCAGUACAAAACAAAACAGAAAUUCUUGGUAAGAUGUUGUGUUAUUGCAGAGCAACUAGUUAUCAUUGACAGCCCUAAUAAAAUAACAAAGUAAUUAGAAGUCACCAACAUAUUAGGCACCAAAUGAGUUGAAAAUGUUUCCAAAAGUGUGUCCAAUUUUGCAUUGAUUCAUUUGUAAUUCAGAUAAAUUCCCUUGCCUUUGAAAACUCCAUCUCCAACCCUUUGAUUUAAACAAAAGGCAACGCCAGGCAGGGCUUAAUUUCCAAACAAAUGAUAAACAAAGAAACUACCGCUCCACAGCUUGUCUGACCUCUCGUCUGGCAGAGGGCCAUGCGGGUAGAGGCAGAGGAAGAGAGGGAUUGUGGGAGGGAAGUUUGUGUGUGCGCGCGUGGCCUCAUCGCCUCAUCUCGACUGCCGAAGCCUGGCAGACUGGGGGUUUAAAUAUUAACAAGCCACACAUGGCCCUCCUCUUCUGCCGGGUCCCUCGAUGGAAGGCAACAGCAGCUCCCUCCACCAAGACAAACACGUCCGCGGCCAGACAUGCUGCAGGGGGUUUACAUUUUAAUGCCUUUGUUGGUUUUCCAAAAUAUGCUUCCAUCUCAUCCUGGAUGGGAUCCCUUCAGGUCCACAAAGCCAGGUGACGUCUAUCAUUUCAGGGGUGAGUGAGAACCUGAUGUCUAAGCAGCCGCCGUUAACCGAUCUACAGGAUGUGGUUUCUUCACUUCCACCCGAGGUCUGCUGGGAGGAAGUAUCAUGCUCUGUACUGCACGAGGCAAAAGGGAGCCACAGAGGUUAACCAAAGAGAUGAGAAGACUCACCACAGUGCAGCAGAGAGGCCAGAACCACCACAAGAAGGCCAGAGCCGCGAGCGCCAGCAUCACCAGAAUCACG